This 468-nucleotide ribosomal RNA is filed under the name uncultured bacterium. Its description in RNAcentral is "partial 16S ribosomal RNA". It matches the Rfam family "Bacterial small subunit ribosomal RNA", at positions 28 to 507 of the family's 1533-position model. The record is from RNAcentral.
GACGGACGCUGGCGGCGUGCUUAACACAUGCAAGUCGAACGGAAAGGCCCUGCUUUUGUGGGGUGCUCGAGUGGCGAACGGGUGAGUAACACGUGAGUAACCUGCCCUUGACUUUGGGAUAACUUCAGGAAACUGGGGCUAAUACCGGAUAGGAGCUCCUGCUGCAUGGUGGGGGUUGGAAAGUUUCGGCGGUUGGGGAUGGACUCGCGGCUUAUCAGCUUGUUGGUGGGGUAGUGGCUUACCAAGGCUUUGACGGGUAGCCGGCCUGAGAGGGUAACCGGCCACAUUGGGACUGAGAUACGGCCCAGACUCCUACGGGAGGCAGCAGUGGGGAAUAUUGCACAAUGGGCGGAAGCCUGAUGCAGCAACGCCGCGUGCGGGAUGACGGCCUUCGGGUUGUAAACCGCUUUCGCCUGUGACGAAGCGUGAGUGACGGUAAUGGGUAAAGAAGCACCGGCUAACUACGUG